GCAAGCCAUGCGAAACAAGCCAUUGGGCAGCAUUCCUCCAUGGUUCCUGCUUCAGCUCCUGCCCUUCAUGACAGACUGUAGCCUGUAAGCUGACAUAAAGCCUUUCCUUCCCAGGUUGCUUUUGGUCACGAUAGACAUCACAGCAACAGAAAGCAAACUAAGACACUCUUGCUACUUUCUGCCCCAUUGAGAAGCUACUGCCUCGUAUGUCUGCUUCCCUGGAUGGAACUACUUCUCCAUGCCUUUCCCAACGUGAUGGUCUGAAAUCCUUGCGAGCCCAAAUCAACCCUUCCUCCCUCGUGUUGUUUCUGCCACGUAGCUUGUUCACAGCGAUAUGAAAAAUUGGAGCAUCCAUGAGGGAAGGUACCAGAGAAGGAACUUGGUGUGGUGGUCUCAGUUGCUAGCUGACUGGCAAUCUGGUGAUAGUAGGAGCUGUGCCAGUCUUGCACUGUAAGCUAAAGAAACCCUCCAAGUUACUUUUUUAAAUGGAUAUUUCAUCAUAGCAACAUAAAUGAAACUAGGACCGCAUGGGGGAA
RNAcentral lists this long non-coding RNA (536 nucleotides) under Cricetulus griseus (Chinese hamster). RNAcentral's name for it is "lncRNA (ENSCGRG00015038333.1)". The record is from RNAcentral. Lineage: Eukaryota; Metazoa; Chordata; Mammalia; Rodentia; Cricetidae.